This 491-nucleotide ribosomal RNA is filed under the name uncultured bacterium. RNAcentral's name for it is "partial 16S ribosomal RNA". It matches the Rfam family "Bacterial small subunit ribosomal RNA", at positions 29 to 507 of the family's 1533-position model. The record is from RNAcentral.
GUGAACGCUGGCGGUAGGCCUAACACAUGCAAGUCGAACGGCAGCACAGUAAGAGCUUGCUCUUACGGGUGGCGAGUGGCGGACGGGUGAGGAAUACAUCGGAAUCUACUUUUUCGUGGGGGAUAACGCAGGGAAACUUACGCUAAUACCGCAUACGACCUACGGGUGAAAGCAGGGGAUCUUCGGACCUUGCGCGAUUGAAUGAGCCGAUGUCGGAUUAGCUAGUUGGCGGGGUAAAGGCCCACCAAGGCGACGAUCCGUAGCUGGUCUGAGAGGAUGAUCAGCCACACUGGAACUGAGACACGGUCCAGACUCCUACGGGAGGCAGCAGUGGGGAAUAUUGGACAAAGGGCGCAAGCCUGAUCCAGCCAUACCGCGUGGGUGAAGAAGGCCUUCGGGUUGUAAAGCCCUUUUGUUGGGAAAGAAAAGCAGCAGGUUAAUACCCCGCUGUUCUGACGGUACCCAAAGAAUAAGCACCGGCUAACUUCGUG